Molecule: ribosomal RNA, 512 nt
Filed under: uncultured soil bacterium
Lineage: Bacteria
Description: bacterial SSU rRNA
Rfam family: Bacterial small subunit ribosomal RNA
Source: RNAcentral
AGAUUGAACGCUGGCGGCAUGCUUUACACAUGCAAGUCGAACGGCAGCGCGGGGCAACCUGGCGGCGAGUGGCGAACGGGUGAGUAAUAUAUCGGAACGUACCCAAGAGUGGGGGAUAACGUAGCGAAAGUUACGCUAAUACCGCAUACGAUCUAAGGAUGAAAGCAGGGGACCGCAAGGCCUUGUGCUCCUGGAGCGGCCGAUAUCUGAUUAGCUAGUUGGUAGGGUAAAGGCCUACCAAGGCUACGAUCAGUAGCUGGUCUGAGAGGACGACCAGCCACACUGGAACUGAGACACGGUCCAGACUCCUACGGGAGGCAGCAGUGGGGAAUUUUGGACAAUGGGCGCAAGCCUGAUCCAGCAAUGCCGCGUGAGUGAAGAAGGCCUCGGUUGUAAGACUCUUUGUUCUAGGAAGGAAACGGUAGGGCGUAAGUAAUACCUCCACUAACUAGACGGUAACCGUAGUAAGAAUAAAGACACCGGCUAACUACGUGUCAGCAGCCGCGGUAACG